AGUCGAACGAUGAAGCUUUUAGCUUGCUAGAAGUGGAUUAGUGGCGCACGGGUGAGUAAGGUAUAGUUAAUCUGCCCUACACAAGAGGACAACAGUUGGAAACGACUGCUAAUACUCUAUACUCCUGCUUAACACAAGUUGAGUAGGGAAAGUUUUUCGGUGUAGGAUGAGACUAUAUAGUAUCAGCUAGUUGGUAAGGUAAUGGCUUACCAAGGCUAUGACGCUUAACUGGUCUGAGAGGAUGAUCAGUCACACUGGAACUGAGACACGGUCCAGACUCCUACGGGAGGCAGCAGUAGGGAAUAUUGCGCAAUGGGGGAAACCCUGACGCAGCAACGCCGCGUGGAGGAUGACACUUUUCGGAGCGUAAACUCCUUUUCUUAGGGAAGAAUUCUGACGGUACCUAAGGAAUAAGCACCGGCUAACUCCGUGCCAGCAGCCGCGGUAAUACGGAGGGUGCAAGCGUUACUCGGAAUCACUGGGCGUAAAGGGCGCGUAGGCGGAUUAUCAAGUCUCUUGUGAAAUCUAAUGGCUUAACCAUUAAACUGCUUGGGAAACUGAUAGUCUAGAGUGAGGGAGAGGCAGAUGGAAUUGGUGGUGUAGGGGUAAAAUCCGUAGAUAUCACCAAGAAUACCCAUUGCGAAGGCGAUCUGCUGGAACUCAACUGACGCUAAGGCGCGAAAGCGUGGGGAGCAAACAGGAUUAGAUACCCUGGUAGUCCACGCCCUAAACGAUGUACACUAGUUGUUGGGAUGCUAGUCAUCUCAGUAAUGCAGCUAACGCAUUAAGUGUACCGCCUGGGGAGUACGGUCGCAAGAUUAAAACUCAAAGGAAUAGACGGGGACCCGCACAAGCGGUGGAGCAUGUGGUUUAAUUCGAAGAUACGCGAAGAACCUUACCUGGGCUUGAUAUCCUAAGAACCUUAUAGAGAUAUGAGGGUGCUAGCUUGCUAGAACUUAGAGACAGGUGCUGCACGGCUGUCGUCAGCUCGUGUCGUGAGAUGUUGGGUUAAGUCCCGCAACGAGCGCAACCCACGUAUUUAGUUGCUAACGGUUCGGCCGAGCACUCUAAAUAGACUGCCUUCGUAAGGAGGAGGAAGGUGUGGACGACGUCAAGUCAUCAUGGCCCUUAUGCCCAGGGCGACACACGUGCUACAAUGGCAUAUACAAUGAGACGCAAUACCGCGAGGUGGAGCAAAUCUAUAAAAUAUGUCCCAGUUCGGAUUGUUCUCUGCAACUCGAGAGCAUGAAGCCGGAAUCGCUAGUAAUCGUAGAUCAGCCAUGCUACGGUGAAUACGUUCCCGGGUCUUGUACUCACCGCCCGUCACACCAUGGGAGUUGAUUUCACUCGAAGCCGGAAUACUAA
Molecule: ribosomal RNA, 1365 nt
Filed under: Campylobacter jejuni
Lineage: Bacteria; Pseudomonadati; Campylobacterota; Epsilonproteobacteria; Campylobacterales; Campylobacteraceae
Description: bacterial SSU rRNA
Rfam family: Bacterial small subunit ribosomal RNA
Source: RNAcentral